GCCUUCUCCACAACUCCAAAGCCUUUCCCGGGGGAGGAGGGAAAUGGGAGUCUCAGAAACGUUGAAAUCCGGAGGCAGGUUAUAGAAAUGCCUCCUCCGAGUCAGGCAACAGAUGCAGGAGAUUAACUAGAUGGCGCAUCGUCUUGAAAAAAUUGGCUGCCCAGGUAACAAUCAUCUUAAUAACCGACGCCCUCAUUUCCUUGGUCACUCGCUCCAUUUUUGAUGGCUGAAGUUGCUCUCUGUCUUGACCUGUCCAGUUCGAAUAUGCCUUGAAAACCAGCACGCCAGGUGUGAGACGGAUGAAAACCUGGAAGGCUGGGGGUCUUACCCCAGGGACAGCGCUCUGUAAUCCCCGGGGGUUCAAGAGCUGCGGUUAAGCUCCCGGCCUCCUCUGGUCAAGACAGUUGCUGAAAAUAAGAGGCAUCGUGAUCUUGGGGUGCUCUCAGGCGAGCUGUGUGUGGCUGUGACAUUGUGCUUGGCCUGCCUUGCCAGUUACCUGUUAUCUGGCUUCAAAAAUGUUCUCAUUUUCCCCUACAGUUUUUGCGUCUCCAGCACAGGCGAAGCACUGUAAAAUAUAGAUGGAAGUUUACUAUGUAUCUUGCAAUCAUUUAACUGAAGCUGAAAUGGCAAAGGAGUUUACUGUUAUUUCAAAAGCAAAUCGCUCACCAUGUAAAGAACAAUGAAGGGCAGGUGAGUCCGGCUCCUUUUACAGAUGAGGAAACUGAGGCUUUGGAACUUGUCAGAGGUCAUUCGGCUGGUUUCUCCAGAAGCAGACACAAGGAUUCUAGGGAAACCGGAGGUGAUCCCCAAAACGGAGGAGCUAAUUGAAGAAAACAGCACAAAUGUCUUGGCUUGCAAGAGUUCCUUGGCCUUUUCAAGCAGCAGCUAAACAGGGUUCUCUUCUCAGUGAGUGACUCUAAAUUCUGCCACACGCCAAUGGCAAAUAUUAAGUCACAAAGAAGGAAACUCUCUACAUAAGGGUUUCCACUUUGUAAUUAAAUAAAAUGUGAGGUCAAGUAAGUUUCAAAAAAUUCUUCAGCCCUAGCUGGUUUUUCCCAGUGGGUAGAGCCUCAGCCUGAGGACAGAAGGGUCCCAGGUUCAAUUCCAGUCAAGGGCAC
Long non-coding RNA from Myotis daubentonii (Daubenton's bat), 1118 nucleotides. RefSeq lists it as uncharacterized. NCBI's taxonomy places the organism in Eukaryota, Metazoa, Chordata, Mammalia, Chiroptera, Vespertilionidae. The record is from RefSeq and is a predicted model, not a curated record.